This 2595-nucleotide ribosomal RNA is filed under the name Triticum aestivum (bread wheat). RNAcentral's name for it is "partial small subunit ribosomal RNA". The record is from RNAcentral. Lineage: Eukaryota; Viridiplantae; Streptophyta; Magnoliopsida; Poales; Poaceae.
AUGCAUCUCACAACUAAUCUCUUGUUCACCACCUUCAUCAUCAUAAGCAUCACUUCAUCUUUAGAAGUGGUGCAUGCACUAGCGCUACAACCACAACAUGCCCAUGACGGCGGCUGCAUCCCAGCUGAGAGGGCCGCCUUGCUCUCCUUCCACAAGGGCGUCACAAGCGACAACGCUGGUGUCCUCGCCUCGUGGCACGGACAUGAUUGCUGCAGGUGGAGGGGCGUUCAUUGCAGCAACCAAACAGGCCAUGUCAUCAAGCUUCACCUUCGCAAUACAAGUCCGGACCUUGACCCCUAUGAUGUGUGCGAUGAUGCUAAUUCAUUGGUUGGCGAGAUAAGCUCCUCUCUCCUUUCCUUGAAGCAUCUAGAGCACAUGGAUCUUAGCAUGAACUGUUUAGGGCCAAAUAGUGUUAUUCCUCAGUUCUUGGGCUCCAUGGAGAACUUGAGAUAUCUUAACCUCUCUGGCAUGCCAUUUACCGGCAGAGUUCCUUCUCAGCUUGGUAACCUAUCUAAUUUGCAGCAUCUUGAUCUUGGCACGAGUUCUUAUUACGGGACAUAUUCAAUGGAUAUCACUUGGUUAACAAAGCUACCAUUGCUGCAGUACCUUAGUAUGAGCACAAUUAAUCUCUCAAGGGUGGAUGACUGGCCUGGUACGUUGAAUAUGAUUCCGUCUCUAAAGGUUAUCAAUCUUGCUGCAUGCUCACUUGAUACUGCAAGCCAAUCACUUCCCCACCUUAACCUCACGAAACUUGAGAAGCUUGAUCUGUCCGGGAAUAAUUUAGGCCACUCAGUUGCAUCAAGUUGGUUUUGGAACGUAACAAGCCUCAAAUACCUUGGUCUUGGUGGGACUCGGUUAUUUACAAAAUUUCCAGACACACUAGGAAACAUGACCUCACUCAAGGUACUUGAUUUGUCAGAAAGCUCUCUGGAUGAGUCUGGAAACCUUAAAAGUCUCCUUAAAAAUCUUUGCUGUUUGGAAAUCCUUGACCUCUCUGGAAAUUUUAUGAAUGGUGAUAUACGGAUGCCGAUGGAGGGCUUGCCACGAUGCGCAUGGGACAAAUUGACGGAGCUGCAUUUCCAUGGAAACAGAUUCAACGGGACGCUACCAAAUUUUAUAGGGGAAUUCAGGAGUUUGAGUGUGCUUGACCUGUCCAGCAACAACUUUGUUGAGCUCAUACCGCCAGGGCUUAUGAAUUUGGUGCGUUUAACCAAUCUUGAUCUCAGACAGAAUCAACUCAAUAGGAUACCAAUCGAAAUUGGUGCCCUUACUGCUCUGACUUAUUUGGACAUGAGCCACAACAACUUGACUGGAAGUAUAGCAGUCGAGCUUGGAAAAUUGAAGCAUUUGGCAUUCCUUUUUCUUGAAGACAACAAACUUACUGGACCAAUACCACCAGAGGUUAUGAAUUCAACUUGCUUAACCUUCCUAGACCUCUCCAGUAAUCACUUCAAUGGAAGUGUACCCACUGAAUUAGGUUCUCUGAAGAAUCUGGUUGAUCUGGACCUAAGCAAAAACAACCUUAAUGGUGUGAUCACGGAAGAGCACUUUGCAAAUCUAAAAGGUUUGAAGAUGAUAGAUUUCUCUUCCAAUAAUUUGAAGAUUGUAGUUGAUUCAAAUUGGCGCUCUCCUUUUAGGCUACAGUCUGCAGUUUUUUCAUCUUGUCAAAUGGGUCCUCUCUUUCCAACUUGGCUUCAGCAGCUGCGGGGAAUCGAUUCACUUGACAUUUCGAGCACAGCUUUAGAGGACAAGUUUCCUAAUUGGUUUUGGUAUACAUUUUCACAGUCAACAUAUCUCAACAUCUCUAACAACCAAAUAAGUGGAAGCUUGCCAGAGCAUAUGGAUGGCAUGGACUUGGAAGAACUCUACCUAAGUUCAAACCGGCUCACCGGCGGGUACAUUCCAGAAUCCAUUUGCAAAUUGCAGCAACUAUUGUAUUUGGAUUUGUCGAACAACCUUUUAGAGGGUGAAAUUCCUCAAUGUUUUGGGAUCCAAAAAUUACAAUUUCUUCUGCUCGGUAACAACAGUUUAUCAGGAAAAUUCCCAACAUUUUUGCAGAAUAACACAAAUAUGGAGUUCUUGGAUCUUGCAUGGAACAAGUUGUCUGGAAGAUUGCCUACUUGGAUAGGAGAUCUUGAGGAAUUAAGUUUUGUAUUAUUGGGCCACAAUGCAUUUUCUGAUAAUACUCCAGCCGACAUAACAAGCCUUAGGUCCCUUCAAUACGUGGAUCUAUCAUGCAACAAUUUCUCUGGUGCAAUACCUUGGCAUCUAUCGAACCUAACAUUUAUGACAGAAGUACAAAAUAAAUUCAUGGAUAUGGAUGAUAGAUUUAUUGGAACCUCAGAUAUUCAUGGUAGUUACAUGGAAUUCCCUGUGAUGGGGGCAGGUCACCUAGGAGAAAUAUUGUCGGUAGUAACAAAAGGACAGCAACUUGUAUAUGGUAGAACACUUGCAUAUUUUUCACUGGUAUCUCUUGACCUCUCUCAGAACAAGCUCUCUGGUGAAAUUCCGUCGAGCUUGUCAAGCCUGGCAUCUUUGGCCGCGUUGAACUUGUCCUAUAACAAUUUGUGUGGAAGGAUACCCUCUAGCCCUUAA